GACGAACGCUGGCGGCGUGCUUAACACAUGCAAGUCGAACGGAAAGGCCCAGCUUGCUGGGUACUCGAGUGGCGAACGGGUGAGUAACACGUGGGUGAUCUGCCCUGCACUCUGGGAUAAGCCUGGGAAACUGGGUCUAAUACCGGAUAUGACCGACUGUCGCAUGGUGGUUGGUGGAAAGCUUUUGUGGUGUGGGAUGGGCGCGCGGCCUAUCAGCUUGUUGGUGGGGUAAUGGCCUACCAAGGCGACGGCGCGUAGCCGACCUGAGCGGGUGGUCGGACACACUGGGACUGGGAUACGGCACAGACUCAUACGGGAGGCGGCGGUGGGGAAUAUAGCACUAUGGGCGGAAGCCUAAUGCAGCGAAGCCGCGUGGGGGAUGACGGCAAUCGGGUUGUAAACCACUUUCCCCAGAGACGAAGCGUGAGUGACGGUACCUGGAGAAGAAGCACCGGCCAACUACGUG
This 466-nucleotide ribosomal RNA is filed under the name uncultured bacterium. Its description in RNAcentral is "partial 16S ribosomal RNA". It matches the Rfam family "Bacterial small subunit ribosomal RNA", at positions 28 to 507 of the family's 1533-position model. The record is from RNAcentral.